CGCAUCUGUGCAUGCAGCAUAUCAAUAAGCGGAGGAAAAGAAACUAACAAGGAUUCCCUUAGUAACGGCGAGUGAAGCGGGAAGAGCUCAAAUUUGAAAUCUUCAAGGUUUUACCUUGACGAAUUGUAGUUUAAAGAAGUGUUUUCUGUUGAAGUUUUGGUAAAAGUUCUUUGGAAUAGGACAUCAUAGAGGGUGAGAAUCCCGUAUUUGACCAUUAUUUUCAGCUGUGUGAUACACUUUCAAAGAGUCGGAUUGUUUGGGAAUGCAGUCCAAAAUGGGUGGUAAAUUUCAUCUAAAGCUAAAUAUUGGCGAGAGACCGAUAGCGAACAAGUACCGUGAGGGAAAGAUGAAAAGAACUUUGAAAAGAGAGUUAAACAGUACGUGAAAUUGUCAAAAGGGAAGCGUUUGACACCAGUGUUGUUUUCUCGAAAAUCAAUUAAAAAGAGUUAGAUUUUGUUGUGUAUUGACCUUAACAGCUUGCAUUUCAAUUUUCUUGCUUUUUUUAAUGCACUUUUCGUUUAACAAGUCAACAUCAGUUUCUUUUGUUGUAAAAAGGUCAUUGGAAGGUGGCUUUCUUUUCGGAGAAAGGUGUUUAUAGCCUUUGACUCCUGCAAUCGGAGAGACUGAGGUCUGCAGCGUAGAUCCUUCGGGGUUAGAUACAUUUGUGCUAAGUUAUAGCUUUUUAUAGACAACUUGUUGACUAUGAUUAGUCUUGUAGCUUACUCGCUUAUGCUAUUUUACCUACGCUUAGGAUGUUGAUGUGAUACUGCGAGCA
RNAcentral lists this ribosomal RNA (775 nucleotides) under uncultured Neocallimastigales. RNAcentral's name for it is "partial large subunit ribosomal RNA". It matches the Rfam family "Eukaryotic large subunit ribosomal RNA", at positions 26 to 629 of the family's 3401-position model. Lineage: Eukaryota; Fungi; Neocallimastigomycota; Neocallimastigomycetes; Neocallimastigales. The record is from RNAcentral.